This 222-nucleotide long non-coding RNA is filed under the name Elaeis guineensis (African oil palm). RNAcentral describes it as "long non-coding RNA (EGUI_LNC023178)". Lineage: Eukaryota; Viridiplantae; Streptophyta; Magnoliopsida; Arecales; Arecaceae. The record is from RNAcentral.
GAUCCUACCAAGACAUGGUCGAUUCAUAGCUUAGAGGGACUUUUCAAAUCAUAGAUCAUGAUCGAUUCAUCAUUUGGAGGAGUUUUUCGAAUUGUAGAUCAUGAUCGAUUCGUCGUUUAAAGGAGCUUUUCGAAUCGUAGAUCAUAAUCGAUUCAUCAUUUGGAGGAGCUUUCUGAAUCGUAGAUCAUGGUCGAUUUAUCGUUUAGAGGAGCUUUUCGAAUC